Molecule: long non-coding RNA, 6302 nt
Organism: Lagopus muta (rock ptarmigan)
Lineage: Eukaryota; Metazoa; Chordata; Aves; Galliformes; Phasianidae
Exons: 3
Source: RefSeq, a predicted model, not a curated record
UUACGGUAAAAUCCAGUCCUGCUAGAAGAGUGGGAUGUGGGUCUGGACCGGCGAGUGAAGAGUGAAGAGUUAUCCUGGGAAAUGUGGGCACUAGCUCUGCGACGGGACAAGCAGGAGCUCGUGAGUAGCAGCAUCCGGUGUUGCAACUCCUGACUGCAGAUCAGAGCCUCAUCACCAGUAGCCUUCUGACAAACAUACUAUCCCUGACUUCAGCAGGAACAGCAGGAGCACACUAAUAGGCCAAACUUGUUUUUUGUUGACCCCCUGAAGAGGAUGAAUUUCACUGAAAUGUAGUUCAGUUCUAAAAACUUACACUGAAUCUAUGCUCAUUGAUUUCCUCUUUAGAACGUCCAGUGAUCACAGCCCUGAAGUGCAUUGGAGAAAAUACUACAAAACAGAGAAAAAUCAAAGGCAGAGCAGGACUUGCUGCACCUGGGAUUUUCAGGAGAACAGCUGGCCUUCACAGAGUUGUUUUUCUCAUCCUUAAUCUGGGCAGCGCCAGGGCAGGUUUAGCCUUUCAUGAGAGCAAGUGCAAUACUGCUAAGAUGUAUCUCCUAGGGAGCUGUUACAAUAUCCCAUGGUUUACCGAGGGCUGUGCAUGCUGUUCUGUCCUCUGCUUGUAGAAGAGGAAAAAAACAUUUGGGGACGUGUAGGGAUGCUGACACUAACUUCCUUGGUGCUGAUUCUCUAAAUAUGUUUUAAACCGUAUGUUUCUCAGGUUAUUCACACUGUCUUAUUUAUUUACUUAUGUUACAACUGAAAAGAUCAGGCAUCUCAUCUCAGUCAAUUCUACCUCCCCUGAUCCUCAACAGCAGUUGAGACAAAUGAUAAAAGUUUUUCAACAAUAGAAAAUCAUGAGACUUCCAGGUAAAAUGUCAGAAACAAAAGGAAACAAAGCAUAAUCCAAAUCUGCUGCAAGAUUAACAAUUUGAUACAUUAGUUUCUUCAACUUUCUUGGUCUUUUCGCUGUAUCCAUGUUAAAAAGGUCAGAGUUUCAGACUACUGUUUUUUUCUGCUGUAGUUGUUGUAGAUUUCCUUAAGCCUUUUAUAACAGGCUCUUUAGUGGAGUCUGUUGUGAUAGGACAAAGGGAAAUUAUUUAAAACUAAAAGAUGGGAGAUUUAGACUAGAUAUAAGAAAAAAGUUUUUUUUACAGUGAGGAUGGUGAGGUAUUGGAAAAUGUCACCCAGAGUGGUGGUGUAUGCCCUGUCCCUGGAGAUACUCAAGGUCAGGCUGGAUAGCUUAUAUCUGAGCAGCCCAAUAUAACUGUAGGUGUCCUUGUUUAUUGUAAGAUAAUAGAACCAGAUGACUAUAUGGGAACUGAUGAUCAUGGACUGAACCUCUGAUUGACCACCUGAGGCAAGCAAUGAACCAGCUGCAGGAGCACAGGUGAAGGCAAUUCACCUGUGCUACUGGAGGGGGUGGAGCCUGGCUCCACCUCUCCUAGAUCCCAUUUAAGUGCUGACUGCCACUGAGGAAGGAUCUCUUUCUGGAGAUUGCUCCCUAUGGAGUUUAUCAUGAGUCUACAAUGGUGGGCAUUUUUCAUUUAUUGUCUUUCCACUGUGAUGAUCCCACUUAGCCUAAACUCUGUACACAUAUUGAUUGUACAAUGACCGUUAAGGCUCCCUUCCAUGAUUCCUUGCGCUAUAUGGCUCCUUCCAUUCUAUGGUUCCAUGAGCUAUAUGUCUGAAGCAUUACUAUGUGUUCUAUCAAGCUGAUAGUCUCCAGCAAGUCCUCAAGCACUGUAGAAUCCAUGCAGAAGAAAUUUGGAAGUCUUUUAAGUAAAGAUGAUAAAAUGUCUGACAAGGUGCUCCUGAAACAAGUUCUUCCCAUCCAAUUUUGGCAUCAGUAGCUGGGACAAUCAAUCUGCAAGCCUUCUGAGAAGAAAUAUCUUAGGUAAAUUUGACCAGAAAAUUAACAACACAGCCUUAUUAAUUCAUCACUGUGAAAAGUUAAGACAGAUGCACAGUUUUCCUGCCACUAUGCUCACAAAUGCAUACAAGGGCAAACUCUUCAGCUGGCCAAGUUCAUGAAAGGAUAGUAAUAUCAUUUAGAUCAUGAAAGAGAGAGAAAAGAAAUCACCUUCAGAGGGAGCUUCCCAGGGUAAGAUCAACAGCAGCAGGGGGAAAUGUACUGAAUGCAAAGAACAGAGAGAUGGAAAAGCACUAUUCAGUAUACGCAUAACUUGAAUCUGAACUGCAUCACUUCCUACAGUUACCAAAAAUGGGCCAGACAGUCUGUCAAGCAUCUCAUCUGAUCAUGCUAUUGCCAAGUGUAAGGUGGUAGAUAACAUCCUCAUAAUGAUAGCUAUACAUUUCAUCUCUGGUAGAUGACUAUUUCUAGUAGAUUACUCAAAUACUGUAAUCUUCUUCAUGUUUCAGAGCAAUUAAUUUUUUGUUGUUUCUCCAUUAAAAUAGAAAUAAUAAGGUAAUUUUAGAAGUUAAAAGCAGUAGUUUGUUAAUCAAGAAUGGCAUUCCUCUGCAUAAGAAUGUGGCUUGCUAUAAAGAUGUCUUAUGUAUAUUGUUAGUUCGUGUUCCUUUUCAUUUACUUCAGUAACCGAAAGUAGUUUUGCCAUCUGUUCUUCCUUUCACUUGCUCAGUAAGUCUGUGACAUGAAAACUUUAAUUCAUGUGGGAUCCAGCAAUCUUAUUUGUAGAACAUAUCACCUACAAGUUGCUUGAUUUCAGCUGUAUGAAAAAUGAGAAAUAUCAGAACAUAAUAUUAUCUUGCAUAGUGAAAAAGAGUUAUCUUUCUAUUUUUGUGUUGUAUAUUCAAAUUUUAGAGUUCUAUUUUUUUUUUUCUCCUCCAUUUUAAUCUUUUACUUCUCAAAUUUUUAUGAAGUCUUUCCUUUAUGGCACACCACAUGCCAGUGACUAAAAUCUUGCCCAAGUGAGCAGUCCUCCCUCUCCAUGCACUUACACUUGCCUACACCCUGCUUUGCCCAAACGUGAAAGACUCUGAAAAGUGGCAGAGGCUUUCAUCUCAAGUAUGAGGAAAUCCAGCUCGGUUUCUGCUUCACCAUGAAUUUUUUUCCCCCUAAAUGAACACUAAGUGACAAAAGAUGAUACAAAAACUCACAAACCAGAAUGGGAAUUCAUUCCUGAAUACUGCACAGCUUAGGGCAGAGCACCAGCUAGUGUAUGUAAGUACGAACUGCACUUGUGAAUGACAAAUCUAGUAACCUGACAAGUAAGAAUGGUUCACAUACUGCUUGCCUUUUGAAGUGAGGUUCAUCACAGUCGACAGUGAAUAUUUGUAACACAGCCUGAGUCGUGCAGAACCAGACAGGAGCAGUCCAAAUGCAUUAAAGUUUUAAUGAACUCAUAAGGUGUUUCUUCCUGCAGCCCUAGUAAAUAUGCAUACAUAAGAUGGGGGAGCUGAAACUGCUCCUUCUCACAAAUACUAGGCAAUGAACAUGAAAAGGAACACCCUGUGCCCAAAGUGCUACCAUUUUCUCCCAGCACAAAAGAAGUCAAUAAAUAAAUAAAUAAAUAAAUAAAUUCAGCUCUAGGAGCUCCAAGAAAACUUAGCUUAAGGCUGGGACUGGUAAUAGAAGCCAGCUCCUAUGAUGCUGUUAUUUGAGUUCAGGAAAAAAAAAUAAAUAAAUAAAUAAAAAAAUCAAUUUCUCUGUAGCUGAUAAGUGUUGACAUUACUAUCUUCCUGAUAGCUGCCACUAAUUGUGUUAGCAAACCAGCUUCUCAUUAAUCAUUUGUAGGAAGUCCAUGAUUCAGCUGGGUGGGUGAAUUUUCUUCUUUGUGAAAGCAGCCAGCUGUGGUCUGAGUCAUGGCCACAGCUUGUUAAGAAAAUACUAAGAAAUGUUAUGUGGUACAUGUGAAAAGAGGGAAAGAGACCAUCUAAAACACAAAGUGAUUCAAGCACCUGUGAUGCCCAGGAAGCAAGCAUAUGAGGAUGGUAAGGUCUGGAAAACAGAAUCUGUGCGAAAAGCCAAAAGAAGGGCAGGAUGUACAGAACACAAGUGUUAAUAAGAUAGUCAAUAAUUAAUAAGCUCUCAGAAAGGUCAUUCUACCUUCGAACACAGCUUGUAACAGAAAUGUUUUAUUCUGUCUAUUCCAGUGCUAGAUUAUUUUCUGUAGCCACAGAAAGUAAUUCUCCCACUAAUAAAUGAAUUGUUGCUGCAAAUAUAGCUUUCAUAUCCACUACAAAUCAGGUAGGAAGUACAGAAAUAAAGAAUAAAAUAAAGGAAAUUCAGAUUAGAACUGUAAAAGUUGUUUCUAUCUGUGAGGACAGGAAGAAGCCAGAACAGAUAGUCCACAUGAGUAGAGUAUCCACAAUCAAAUAUUAAAGAUUAUAAUCCAUACAUUAAUCAAAUGUUUUUGUAAAAUAGUUAAUCCUGUCUUGAAAAAAAAAAGAAGAUAGAAUAGUGAAAGCUUGAGACUCAAAUAGACAUCAUUUUGUACAGUUCAUAAGAUGUUCUUUGAUCAGGCAAGCAAAAUAGAUCCAGAAAUAUCUGCAAGGAAAUUAAUAAAUUGACAAGGAAAAAAAAAUGGCAUUGUCUGUGUCUUUCAAUGAAUCCUGAGUUUGAAAAGCAGAGUGGACAGCUGUUUGCUAGCAGGUUAAAUUUUCAAACAAGCCACCUACUUAGAAACAAGAUUGCCCUCUGCUGGAAAUUCAUGUUGGAAAUCUAAAUGCAAUGUAAAUUACUCUAAUUCUAAUUAAAUAGGAUUAAAAACAAACAAAUAAUAAUAAUAAUAAAAAGCUAACUAAAUAAACAGCUAGAUGAAGGAUAAUAGAAGAGCUUGUAUUACCUGUAAACUCAGACUGAGUUGUGCUGCCAUAAGCACUUUAGAACUGGUGUUUUCAGAGACGUUGAAAGUCAUGUACAGUAAAGCACAGCAUAAAUAAAUAUUUGGAAAGUUAAGUGAAGUAUAGCUUGUACUGAUUUGCAUUUCUUUGCAAAUAUCUGUGCUGAGGGUGAAAUGUGAUGAUAAGUCAGUUUCUGUUUCUUGAUGUCUAGUGGUGUCCAGAAUGAACUUUCUCUGUAAGAGUGUGGUUUUUUUUGUUGUUUUUGUUUUUGUUUUUUAACUAUCAUUCACUGUGAUAAAAAUUCAGAACAGCUGAACAAAAGCCUAUAAACCAACUUAGAUGUAAUGAUGUUGCUUUGAUAUUACUGGCAGUUUGAUCUUUUUACUGGAAUGAUAAAUAAAGAGUAAUUGUAGUAAUCAGAAGGAAACAUCUAAGAUAGAGAUGUCACCAUGUUUAAUUUCAGGCCUUUGGCGUAACUGUGCAAAACCAAGCACAGAUUCCUCUGUGCAGACAGAGAUAGAAACUUUGUUACUGCAUGGUUUCAUUGUAAUUCCUGAUGCAUUACAAAGAGAGUAAUGUAAUUGUGAUCUGUUUUGCAUGUGCAGCACAGUCCUCUGGCCAGAAAUUCUUAUCAACCUCGAAAAAACAGAGCACAGCCCUAAGCUAAAUAUCCUCUGCAUGGAUCUAAAUCAAACAAUAAAAAACAAUUUGCCACAGUGCAAUAUGGCUUCAUUGUUAUUAUUUGAUUGAUAAGAUAAUUUUACAGAGCCUGAGAAUAAAAUCAUUUCCUGUAUGAAGAAGAUAAGUGAAUAGAGUGAUGUUCUAAUGUUAAAGAGAAUUUAUUGAAAUUCUUUUUAAAAAAGAGUAAACAAACAAACAAAAAAGUACCUUCAAGGAAACAGAAGAAAUCCAGGGUUAGUACAAAGCACAGAUUUUUCAUAUUACUGGGAAGCCUACAGGCUUUGUAUCAUCCUCAGUCCUACUAUAGCAAUCCUAAUGCCUGUGGUCUGAAACCAAAAGCCCAGACACAGCUUCAAAAGGCUUGCUGUGAGAACCCACAAAAGGCUGAGAAGGAUUUGUAUGGGCAACCUAAGAUUUAUUAGAAUAUAAAGAAUACAGAAUAUAUUAGAACAUCAAACAGAGUCUUUUAAAAGAGAAAAAUGAAAGUGACAUUUCAGACUGUAUGGUGCAUCCUACAAAUGGUGAUUCUCAAUGCGGUGCUUUUUGGAAAUGCUGCAACCUCUGCACAUUUGUUGCUGUGUCAGAAGUGCUUCCUGUCAGUAAGAGGCAGGACUUAGUUUCUUUUCUUCACUGGUAGCUCAGCUACUUCCAGAAAUCAAUCUCUCCUUCACAGUUCCAUAUCUUUUAAUCUCCAUUGCAAAUGUACAUCAUAUAUCAGCAUAAAUGGGCAGCCCAGGGAGGUGGUGGAGUCAUUGACCCUGGAGGUGUUCAAGGAACAUUUAGAUGUUGUCUUGAGGGAUAUGGUUCAGAGAACUAUUGGUGAUAUGUGGAUGGCUGGACUGGAUGAUCUUGUAGGUCUU